Molecule: ribosomal RNA, 253 nt
Filed under: uncultured bacterium
Lineage: Bacteria
Description: partial 16S ribosomal RNA
Rfam family: Bacterial small subunit ribosomal RNA
Source: RNAcentral
GACAGAGGUUGCAACCGUUGUUCGGAAUCACUGGGCGUAAAGCGCACGUAGGUGGUCUGCUAAGUCGUGUGUGAAAUGCCCCGGCUCAACCGGGGAAUGGCGCACGAUACUGGCAGGCUCGAGGUCGGGAGGGGUGAGUGGAACUGCGAGUGUAGAGGUGAAAUUCGUAGAUAUUCGCAAGAACACCAGUGGCGAAGGCGGCUCACUGGCCCGAUACUGACGCUGAGGUGCGAAAGCGUGGGGAGCAAACAGG